Long non-coding RNA from Mercenaria mercenaria, 1416 nucleotides. RefSeq lists it as uncharacterized. The record is from RefSeq and is a predicted model, not a curated record. The transcript is spliced from 2 exons. NCBI's taxonomy places the organism in Eukaryota, Metazoa, Mollusca, Bivalvia, Venerida, Veneridae.
AAAUACAUGUUUAUGUUAAACAUAAAUUGUAAUUUAUCAUUUAUAUGUACUUGUUAUUGGGCUUUUGAAGCAAUCCUUCUGCUGUAUGUUUCUGUUGUAGACUAUUUUUGUUUCGGAUGUACUUUGUGAUACAUGACUCUCUGGCUGUAUUUGAUAUGAGCUGAGUUUCCGUGAAAAUCACCCUGACCUUAUAUUUUUGCAAAGCAACAAGAUAAACAGAGUACCAAGAAAAACAACAUUUAUUAGGAACCGAUGAAACAGGUCAGAAGACAAACAUCAUAAUAGUCAGUCGUGGUGAAGUUAUAGAACUAUGAAGUCCUUCGACUGUUCCGCCGUACACAAUCUAAAAGGAAAACUUAGCGUCUAACUGUAUAAGGGCUGAAUACUAAAUAUGCAACUAGAGGUGCACACUUUGUUCCCUUUGGAAUAACAUACCAGUGACUUGUUCAAUAAUAAGGAAGGGCUUUACAAACUUCGUCACAGGUCCAAAUAGUAUAAUUUUUUACAAUACGACUGAUAAAAAUAUUUUAAUUGAAAUUUCAAACGAACAAAGUAGCAUUUCCCUGGCAAAAGUCUUUUAAUUAGGUGUCUUAAAGUAAACUUAGGUUUAGGUGGAAGUAGAAGCUGUCAUUAUUAAAGAUAUUACGUUUCCAAGACGACAAUGCAUUGGGAUCAGCAUUUUCACGUCAGCACCAUUUAAAAGAAACAAGUUUCAAUAGAUUCUGCAAUCUGAUCAUGACAUGCAUUAAAAUCAAUACUUGAAGGAAUUCUGUAUUUAGAGUAAGAAUAAAUGACGAAUAAACGAUUUCAUUUAUGAUAUCAAAAUUACCAGUGAUGACAUGACCUGCCCCUGAUUAGCAAAAUUUUGACUUUAUAUAUUUACUGGAAGUUGGAGUAUUUGUAUGUACAGCUUUAGGUCUGAAACAAUUUUAUUGUAACUGAAUAUGAUAUUCCUUACAGGAGUGUUAUAUCUAUAACAGAUAAUCAGAACUUCAGUGUAAUUGAAAUAUGUAGCCACAGAAUCAACGACACGUUUAUCCCGAAAUAUACACGGUGUAUCGAUGAAGUUAAUACCUUCAUCAUAAAACAUAUCUCAAGGAAGUGUCUGUCAUGGUCAGAUUGAGUGUCAAUAUGUGGACGAAGAAUACUUAAUAUGUUGUGUAUAACUUUGAACAAGGUAUCAUGAUAUAGUGAAGAAAGGAUUUAUUUGAAUAAAGCACUGGUCUCAUUCCUAAUCUAAUCCUUUUAAGGACUCUGAACAGAUAAAGAGAAAUCCUUGAGUGUCUACCAGAGUUUGAAAGAAUUAAAUCAAUGUCUUUCGCAUAAUAUCACUAUGCGUCUUAUUCCAUGAGAUAUAGAAUUACGUUUCCUAAUGUUUAAGUAGAAAAAAUAUCAAUAUCAGGGUUUUUAAAAUUA